GGAAGUAACCAAAAAAUCGCUUUGAAAGAAUAAAAUUCUCCAUCAAUCUCUCUAAAUCCUCCCACUCUACAAACCGGCCACUGCUAUUUCUUUUCCCUUUCUCGGUGACUCAUCCCAACCUCUUCGCUUUGUGUGUGCUGGAAACCAAGAAUUGUUUGAAUAUCAAGAAGGAUGGUGCUAAGAAGAGCGAAAUAAGCUUCAAAAGGGUGAAAUCAACCAUAGAACCUUAAUGUAUUGACUUCAAAAUCAAAUUCAGAUGCAUCUAGGAGACAGCCUAGGAUUUCUCUCUACACCCAACCAUCUGUUAUUGGCCGCCACUAAGCUCCCUAGAAUCGAUUUUCUCUAUGGCGUCCGCCUUUUCAAUCUCCCGACCUAGAACAUGCCAAAUAAAGCUAAAAUGGUUUUUCUUUUGCUAUUAGGUGUGCAGGUUGAGGUCUCGCUGGUUAUCCAUCUACGAUCUCUUACGGGUUGUAGUUCUUGUGGGGAACUCAUUGACUGGGCAAACCAAAUGGAUUUGACCUAUAUUCUCUUUGAUUCCAGAUAAAGUUUUUUUUACCUAGCUUCUCUUUUAUUUCAAACCCAAAAUGGAAUUUUUGUGCAAGAUCACAUCUGAUACUGUUUGGUUUGAUGUGCAGGUUUUGUUCCAAAUGUACGCACGCACAAAAAACACACCAUUCACCAUGUCAGUUUUCCUUCCUCUAAAAGAACCAUUUAGAAAUGUGAUCUCUGGUUCAGGAACUGAAUCUUAUGUUUUUUUGGAGGCUCCUCAUCUUGUCGAUGAUUACUACUUGAAUUUGUUGGAUUGGGGAAGUGGCAAUAGCUCUAGGGAGCAUAAUGUAUCUUUGGGAUGAUAUUGAUGGUAAUACCUCAAAACUCAUGUCACAAGUUUCAAAUGGGUAUUUGUAGGCUUAAACUCGAACCUAUGAUAUGGAGAUACGAAUGAUGGAGAUGGAAUGUUACUGCAUAUUUUGUUGGUCUGUUGGACCUCUGACCCACGAAACAACAACGGCUUGAUUGGGAUGUUGGCCUCAAGCGACUAAGGUAACGUAUAUGGUUCCUCUUCUAUUAAUUUGUCUACAUUUUUUUGCUUUAAUUUGUUUCAGUAGAUCCAACCGUAAGUGAUGUCAACGUGGUUUGCUUUAUUUUGAUUUUGUUGUGAUAAUGUUGAUGUGUAUGAUUUUCUACCAUUAGGAUAUUCUGUUUCUUAACCUGCCAUAGUUGUGCCUUUACAUGGUAUUCAAAAACUAACACUUUGAUGCCCAUCUCUUCUAGUCGGAGAUGAAUCUCAGCAAAGAACGAUUACCCUGACUAUUCGGUAAGAUUUAUUUGUAUUUACUUAUAAUUUGAUUUUUUAGAAGGGUGGUUUUUUAGGGUUAUCACUGAACGAUGGUGGCUAAAAGAGGUUAAAAUCAGAAAUUAUGUGUUAAAAGGUAAUAGCCUGCUCUUUGUUCUUUGUUCUGGAGAUUUUAAUUCCUUUUUAUUUUGAUUCUUCAUUUGUUUUAUUAUUUGAUUUCAUCUGUGGCAUUUGCUACAAAGAAAAUCACCCAUUUUUUCUUGAGUUUGUCGUUAUAUCAGUAGUCGGUUGUGUUUUAGGUUAGUAUUUGAAUCAGUAUCCCUUGCUUUUAGGAAUUGAAUCGUAUCCUCUUUUUUCAACAAUUGAAUGGCACUAUCAGCAAUUGAAUUAGUCAACAGAAGAUACACUUUAUAUAAAUUGCAUCUCUUCUGUCAGCCGAUUAAAACCCUAAAAUGUUGAACUCUCUCAAUCGGCGACCAAUGCCUACCCGUAGAAGAUGUAGAUGACGACCAGGCAAAUAUUUAUAGAUUACACCUGCCUUCACUCAUAUCUCGCCCAUACACCUCUUGGGGCAACUGAUUGCACAACAAGAGAUAUACAAUCGAGUUGCUUCAGGUCAAACACGAUCCAACGCCACAGUCAAUCAGCCAUCUCUCUCACAACCACCGUUUCCCGUCACUGCCAAGACCUAUGCAUGUUUGAUAACAUGAAAUCUACCUAAAAGAAUCCACCUUGAUCUCUUUAUCGCCUAAUCGGUUGUUUUUUCAAUUAAACAUAUGUUAUGCUGCUUUUUAGUUAUAAGAUAAUUGUUUGUGUUAUUAUUUUUGUCGUUGUGAUGAAAAUUUUGGAGCUAUGGAGAAAUCGGAGGGAUGAUUUAUAGAUUCCAGUGAGUCUGAUGUGUGUUUUAAAGCAAAGUAGGUUCACGAGUUCUGAUUUCUUUUUCUUUUUUUGUUGCAGGUUACUAGGUAAAAGUUUAGUAUUUUUUUAAUGUUAUUAGCAAAGCCCCUUUUGGUGUCGUAUCACCUCGACCAUUCCCGUCGUCUUCCUACUUGCUAUAUUGUUUGUUCCUGUUAGGGCGGAACAGGAAACGAGUAAGUAAAGAACUAUCGAGAGAGCGAGAGAUCGAGGCUAAGGGGAGGAGGCGUAAAAGCAACGAGAGAGUUUUGGUGCUUGAUUUAGGUCCAUCUCCUGUUUACAAGUCCGAGUGUCCGAAAUCAGGGUAGAUGUCUAUGUAGUAUGCAAAGCAGGUGUUAAAUGUCAGCACAUAUCUAAUUCCAAGUUGAAGUUUUCGAAAAUGAGCAGGUUUCUGAUUCCAAGUAGGUAUUGUAAAACAUUUCGAUUCAAAUUAAGGUUAUUCUGUAAACAUUCGCUGAUUUUGCUAUUUUUAACCAUUUUGUUGUUUGAUUUUUCAAUCCCAGUACGGUUUAGAGACCUAAAAAUUCACUCCCUCUUCUACAUUUUCAGUUACAGGCGAGUAUGACCUCCUUUUCUAGGUUUUAUUUAGAUUUUUAAGCGACCAUCCUUCGUUAUGUUCUUUAUUACAUAAAUGUUUUAAUUUUGAAGGGUUUAGUUGCAUAGAGAAAUAGAACAGGAGUAUUGAUGUUCGAAGCACAUGGUUAUCUUUGCUUAUAAUGUUGUCAAGCUAGGAAAUAGUAGCUAAAAAUGAGAUUUAUGGUCGAGUCUUUAAAGGUCAUCCUUCAAUCUGGGUCAAAGUGAAACAUAUCAUAGUUGUGAAUGGAAAGCUGUUGAUGGGCAAAAUUGGCAGAAACAAGUAUGGAAGCGGGCUUUUGACAUACAUUUUUCUUAAUUUUCUCGUGUUUUGUGCUUGGAUUUAACCCUCUUUCAGUCUUUCUUGUGUUUGGUUAUUAUUGUCAAGAAAAUAUACAUGGACUUGAAGGUGUACUCUGGAUACUAUUUUUGCUACUGAUGAAAGUGUAUUUUUGACAUACAUUUUUUCUAAUAUGCCUAUGUUUUGUUCAUACAUAUAGUUGAAUAUCACAAAUCAGUUAUUUGAUGUUUCAUCCCUUUGGAAGUGAAAUAUCAAUAUUUGUUAAGUUGUAUGAUUAUUGUUGUAGUUUUCUUAUUUCCAUCGUUAAUGUUUAAUACACUUGAAAUCUUGAAUCUUGAUAGGCUACAUGUGAGAAUCUGACUAGAAAGUGAAGAAUUAUGAUGAUCCGAGGGUUCUUCUAUUGAAUUCUUGAAGUAUGUACAUUUCUUACACUUACACACACUAAAACUGGAGCUUUUACUUCAUCACAGGCUGCUUUCUAUCACCUUUUUGUUUUGAUUACCUUUUUUAUAUUUAGUUGUUAGGGGUUUAUUUAUUGUUCAAAUGCAAAUAACAAAAAACUAUUAAGUUGUUUUUUUUUAUUCCGGUUGAAGUAUUGGUGCCUCACGAAAGCAAAUUGUUAUUUACAGGUAAGUACAUGGAGGGACGGAGGAUUGAGACAGUUUGCUUCUAUUUGAUAAUCAUUCAGUUUAUUCCCAUAUAUGGUUCAUUCUUGAAUAAUAUUCUUGGUUUUAUUGGAUCCAUAUCUUAAUUAUGCAGUAUAGUUAAUGUUGCAUUGCAUAAGCUCUGUUAUGAUUGAUUCUUAAUAAUUGGGUGAAGUUGUUAUGAUUAGAA
Lactuca sativa (garden lettuce) is the source of this 3917-nucleotide non-coding RNA. The record is from RefSeq and is a predicted model, not a curated record. NCBI's taxonomy places the organism in Eukaryota, Viridiplantae, Streptophyta, Magnoliopsida, Asterales, Asteraceae.